Molecule: long non-coding RNA, 474 nt
Organism: Gambusia affinis (western mosquitofish)
Lineage: Eukaryota; Metazoa; Chordata; Actinopteri; Cyprinodontiformes; Poeciliidae
Exons: 5
Source: RefSeq, a predicted model, not a curated record
UGGGAUUUUUACCAGCUGGAGGCAAACGUUCACAGGCUAGAGGGCGGAGCCAACAAUGACUUUCACCGGACUAAUGGAUGGAAGACAUAGUGAGAUGUUGCCAUCUUACUGUAUCUGCCAAAUGUGGGUCUACAGAUAAAGGAAACAGCAUCAAGGGCACAAGCGGGUCCAGCAGCUCCUUCUGGCACCUAGAGUAUUGUUUCAUAGGCGAUUCAUAGGCCUCAACCCAGAAAGAAAAACAAAAGCUGCAAACAGAAAAGUGACAUAAAAACCAACUUUUGUGUCUCCAUUCUCCUCCUUCAUGGACCAGUGGAACUUUUAAAAUGCAACCCUUUGAUGAUUUCUGGAGAAGUUCAGAACUGAGACCAACUCAGAACUCAUCCAUGUUGGUUUUGUUUGGCUGUUCACUAAGUCUUAAACUUGCCCAAAUGUUUAAGAUGUGCUGUUGGGCUUCCAAUAAAGUUUUUAAAAAUA